AAGCCCUGCCUUUGAACCUAAUGUGUCUUGUAUGUAGCUUCACAGGCCAAGCAACAGUGCUGGAAUGUAAGGACUUGUAACUGGGGCUCUUCAGCUCUUAGCUGAACUGCUCUUUUAAAAACAAGGUACAUUU
RNAcentral lists this small nucleolar RNA (133 nucleotides) under Chaetura pelagica (chimney swift). Lineage: Eukaryota; Metazoa; Chordata; Aves; Apodiformes; Apodidae. The record is from RNAcentral.